UUACGAGCCCAAGCUUAAAACCCAAAGGACUUGACGGUGCCCCACCCACCUAGAGGAGCCUGUUCUAUAAUCGAUUUUCCCCGAUACACCUCACCGCUUCUAGCCUUUCAGCCUGUAUACCUCCGUCGUAAGCUUACCAUAUGAACGCUAAUCAGUGAGCUAAAAGAUCUAUCAUCAACACGUCAGGUCAAGGUGCAGCCCACGAAACGGCAAGCAAUGGGCUACAGUCUCUAACUUAGAACAAACGAAAGACUACAUGAAACUUAGUCACGAAGGCGGAUUUAGUAGUAAAAAGAAAAUAGAGCGUUCUUUUUAAUCUGGCACUGGGACGCGUACACACCGCCCGUCACCCUCUUCAAACACAACUAUUAUGUUAAUAACACAAAACAACACCACAGAAGAGGUAAGUCGUAACAUGGUAAGCGUACUGGAAAGUGCACUUGGAUAA
This 448-nucleotide ribosomal RNA is filed under the name Kaloula sp. East Luzon. RNAcentral describes it as "12S ribosomal RNA". It matches the Rfam family "Bacterial small subunit ribosomal RNA", at positions 880 to 1525 of the family's 1533-position model. Lineage: Eukaryota; Metazoa; Chordata; Amphibia; Anura; Microhylidae. The record is from RNAcentral.